RNAcentral lists this ribosomal RNA (249 nucleotides) under uncultured Chloroflexaceae bacterium. RNAcentral's name for it is "partial 16S ribosomal RNA". It matches the Rfam family "Bacterial small subunit ribosomal RNA", at positions 355 to 621 of the family's 1533-position model. Lineage: Bacteria; Bacillati; Chloroflexota; Chloroflexia; Chloroflexales; Chloroflexaceae. The record is from RNAcentral.
CAAGGAAUUUUCCCCAAUGGGCUCACGCCUGAGGGAGCAACGCCGCGUGCAGGACGACGGCCUUCGGGUUGUAAACUGCUUUUGGGUGGGACGAUGAUGACGGUACCGCCCGAAGAAGCCCCGGCUAACUCCGUGCCAGCAGCCGCGGUAAGACGGAGGGGGCAAGCGUUGUCCGGAAUCACUGGGCGUAAAGCGCCCGUAGGCGGUGCGGUGCGUCGGUGCUGAAAGCGCCGGGCUUAACCCGGCGAG